RNAcentral lists this ribosomal RNA (279 nucleotides) under Aspergillus parasiticus. Its description in RNAcentral is "partial 28S ribosomal RNA". It matches the Rfam family "Eukaryotic large subunit ribosomal RNA", at positions 376 to 672 of the family's 3401-position model. Lineage: Eukaryota; Fungi; Ascomycota; Eurotiomycetes; Eurotiales; Aspergillaceae. The record is from RNAcentral.
UUGAAAAGAGAGUUAAAAAGCACGUGAAAUUGUUGAAAGCGGAAGCGCUUGCGACCAGACUCGCCUCCAGGGUUCAGCCGGCAUUCGUGCCGGUGUACUUCCCUGGGGGCGGGCCAGCGUCGGUUUGGGCGGCCGGUCAAAGGCUCCCGGAAUGUAGUGCCCUCCGGGGCACCUUAUAGCCGGGAGUGCAAUGCGGCCAGCCUGGACCGAGGAACGCGCUUCGGCACGGACGCUGGCAUAAUGGUCGUAAACGACCCGUCUUGAAACACGGAACCAAGA